Small nuclear RNA from Phymastichus coffea, 152 nucleotides. RefSeq annotates it as U12 minor spliceosomal RNA. NCBI's taxonomy places the organism in Eukaryota, Metazoa, Arthropoda, Insecta, Hymenoptera, Eulophidae. The record is from RefSeq and is a predicted model, not a curated record. The transcript has a single exon.
GCGCUUUAAACUAAUGAGUAAGGAUAAUAUUCGGCUUUGGUAACGCUAGCAAUGUUUACAUGAUUAAACGAACUUAUUUUUGCAAGGGUACAGGUCGUCGUAUGACCAGUCGAACUACUUUCUUGACUGGUCUGGUGAAGCGAUUUUACCAU